GGGGGUAUAGCUCAGUGGUAGAGAAUUUGACUGCAGAUCAAGAGGUCUCCAGUUCAAAUCUGGGUGCCCCCU
Molecule: transfer RNA, 72 nt
Filed under: Danionella translucida
Lineage: Eukaryota; Metazoa; Chordata; Actinopteri; Cypriniformes; Danionidae
Also listed under: 1 other name
Rfam family: tRNA
About the family: Transfer RNA (tRNA) molecules are approximately 80 nucleotides in length. Their secondary structure includes four short double-helical elements and three loops (D, anti-codon, and T loops).
Source: Rfam by way of RNAcentral